Molecule: ribosomal RNA, 254 nt
Filed under: uncultured bacterium
Lineage: Bacteria
Description: partial 16S ribosomal RNA
Rfam family: Bacterial small subunit ribosomal RNA
Source: RNAcentral
UACGGGGGGAGCAAGCGUUGUUCGGAUUUACUGGGCGUAAAGGGCGCGUAGGCGGUCGUGACAAGUCACUUGUGAAAUCUCCGGGCUUAACUCGGAACGGUCAAGUGAUACUGUCGGACUAGAGUACAGAAGGGGCAACUGGAAUUCUCGGUGUAGCGGUGAAAUGCGUAGAUAUCGAGAGGAACACCUGCGGCGAAGGCGGGUUGCUGGGACGUUACUGACGCUGAGACGCGAAAGCGUGGGGAGCAAACAGG